RNAcentral lists this ribosomal RNA (491 nucleotides) under uncultured bacterium. RNAcentral describes it as "partial 16S ribosomal RNA". It matches the Rfam family "Bacterial small subunit ribosomal RNA", at positions 29 to 506 of the family's 1533-position model. The record is from RNAcentral.
AGUGAACGCUGGCGGUAGGCCUAACACAUGCAGGUCGAACGGCAGCACAGUAAGAGCUUGCUCUUACGGGUGGCGAGUGGCGGACGGGUGAGGAAUACAUCGGAAUCUACUUUUUCGUGGGGGAUAACGUAGGGAAACUUACGCUAAUACCGCAUACGACCUACGGGUGAAAGCAGGGGAUCUUCGGACCUUGCGCGAUUGAAUGAGCCGAUGUCGGAUUAGCUAGUUGGCGGGGUAAAGGCCCACCAAGGCGACGAUCCGUAGCUGGUCUGAGAGGAUGAUCAGCCACACUGGAACUGAGACACGGUCCAGACUCCUACGGGAGGCAGCAGUGGGGAAUAUUGGACAAUGGGCGCAAGCCUGAUCCAGCCAUACCGCGUGGGUGAAGAAGGCCUUCGGGUUGUAAAGCCCUUUUGUUGGGAAAGAAAAGCAGCAGGUUAAUACCCCGCUGUUCGGACGGUACCCAAAGAAUAAGCACCGGCUAACUUCGU